CUCUGGAUAGCUCAGCCCAAGCGCGGUGGCUCUCCCGCGCAGCCUGCAGUCCCAUCCGACUCAUGCCAAGGUCCGCUGUGAGGGAAGGGGUGACGUUUGCUCUGCGGGUUUGGAUUGCAGUGCCGGAACAACCACAACUCCUUGCAAAUGUUUGGAUUAGACAUCCUGAUCCAUCCGGCCUCUUCCCAACACCAAAACAGGCUGGAUGACCCAGCAGCAGCGUUCCCACAGCCCGUGCCUCCCUCCCACGGGGCAGCACUCAGGGCGCCGGGAAGCAGCAGCAGCUUGCCCCGCUCUGCGGUUAAACCCAAGGCUUUCCAGAAAUACGCCUGUGGCUUCGGACUCAGCUUUGGGAGGUGGCACCAAGGCACAUUCACGCUGCGAGCUGCGGAGAGCAGCGACCUGACUUAUGGUUUACUCAGGCCACAAAUUGAGCUCUCAGCCGCCCAGUCAAGCCCUUACUAAUACGAACAAUUUGUUAUCCGUGCAGACUGAGCUGAGCAGAAAAGAGAGGUUGUCCUACGCAGCAGAGGCGUUGGCGAGCAAGCAAGGAUGCCUGCCAUGACUUAGGGCUGCCUUUUGGUGUCAUUGCUUUGGUUGAGCAGCUCCUGGCUCUCGGUAGUCGCAGCGUGUGUCCUCCUGACUGCAGCGGACCCUUCGCCUCGCUCCGACAGCAGAGUCGAUCCUGCGCAACGCAAGACACGGCGGCAGGAUCCAGCCCAAAGGAAACAUCUCAGGCUUUGGCCCAUCACUAGCAGCACCUUCUCCCAGCGAAGCCCGCUCCAGGCAUGACGCAGAGCUCAGUCCUCCCAGUUCCCAGCGCUUGUUUGCCUUUCACCAAGGCGUCAGGAAGGCAGCGUGAAAAAAACCAGUUUAUGUCAUCUCAUGACUCACUGACGGGCUUUCCCAGUAGGCGCUGCAGAGUUUGGGGAAGAAGCUCCUCAAGUUUCAUCCAGUGCAAAUGCCUCAUGCUCCAACCCCGGCAGCACUGGACUGCUCCAAGGAGGACUCCGGGAUCUGGAGCUAGACUAUGAACACAUCUUGCAAGGGUGGCACGAAGAUCUGACAUAUACCUGUCACCACACAUAUUCCUUGGGAACGGGACAGCCGAUGCACCUUGCUGGUGGGAAGGCUGGGUCCCAGCGCUGAGGACUAGCUGUCGUGCCAUGGUCCGGGUCCCCGUGGGAAGGUACCGUGUCGUGCAGGCUGGAGAUGACACACAGCUCCUCAGCAGGGAUGAGGCUGGUCUCCUCCCUUCAAGAGAAAGAGCUCUGUGUGCCCUAAAAGGAGCCUGCUUUCCACCCCAAGUUAAUAUUUGCUACAAUACUAUUUAAAUGCAUGACACAAUGUGUUUAGACUUCUGCUGACUGCACAAUGUUCUUUUAAUCCAACAUUUAAUAUAUAGAACAAUGUAUACAUUGCAGAUGGCAGGUAAUGGACCCAGAUGAAAAUGCCCUGCAUUGGCGCCUGGCCUCAUUCACAGAGCCGUCUUGGCUAAAACGAGUGCUGUGAUUUCCCAGAAUUAGUGGCCAUGGCUCCCUGUCUGACGGUCCCUCCCCCUCCUCUCAGCACUGACACCUUCACUGAGAUGAUUUAACCCACUAACCAGGCAGGAAACAAUUCAAAGCCUUUAGCAUAAAGCAGAUAGUGUGAGCACACAUCAUGGAACCACCCAGCACCAGUUCUAAUAAUUUCCUUUAUUUUUUUUCACCAUUUAAUUUUUCACUCUUUUUUCACUUGCUGAAACAUAUCUGCAGAGAGUUUAAUCCCUUCAGGAAAAGGAAAGGGUCCCAAGUUCCCUUUCUUACAGCAAAAAUAAUCCCGACAGCAGCGCGGCACAUUGCAGGAGCAGGGCACAAUGCGUCUCCAGCAAGAAGAGGCUGAGAUAGGCACCGGUCUGCUGGCCUAGGGGAUGGUCAUCAACCCCUGCUUCCACACAGCGUGUAUCUUUGGGCCGAAUACAUUCCUCGUGGAAAGUCCCAGACCGAAAUCAGCACAACACAAGUGCGUACAUACCCAACGGCAGCCACCCAAGUCAAUCGCUUGACUUCAGUGAGAUUACUCACAUGCUUAAAUUCAAGCAUAUCCUGCUGAACGGAAGUCUUCGUUCGCAGCAAGAAGCGUUCAAUACCACCCUACGGCACA
Long non-coding RNA from Dromaius novaehollandiae (emu), 2145 nucleotides. RefSeq lists it as uncharacterized. The record is from RefSeq and is a predicted model, not a curated record. The transcript is spliced from 4 exons. Lineage: Eukaryota; Metazoa; Chordata; Aves; Casuariiformes; Dromaiidae.